RNAcentral lists this ribosomal RNA (3058 nucleotides) under Thismia tentaculata. RNAcentral describes it as "23S ribosomal RNA". It matches the Rfam family "Bacterial large subunit ribosomal RNA". Lineage: Eukaryota; Viridiplantae; Streptophyta; Magnoliopsida; Dioscoreales; Thismiaceae. The record is from RNAcentral.
UAAAAAAAAAUAAGACUUUUGAUGACAAAUUUAGCACUUAGAGACGAGGAAAGGCGUAAAAAAAAACGAAAAGCUUUGGUUAAUUUAAAAAUAAAUGUAGAUCCAUGGAUUCCUGAAUAGGAAAACCUUUUAAUUAUACUAUAUUAUAUAAAAUAAAAGAGAUAAUCUAGUGAACUGAAACAUCUUAGUAUCUAGUAGAAAAAAAAAAAUUCUCAUAGUAAUUGAUGAAAAAAAUGAGAUAUUAUAUUAAAAUAAUAAAAAAAAUAUUAUGUUUUUAUUAAAUGUUAAUGUUAUAUAUAGUAAGAUAAAAGUGUUAGGUGAAAUUGGAGAUUUUCCAUACCUUAGAAGGCAUUAGUCCAGUAACCAAAAACAAAAACUUUUUUAAUGUAUGUGAAUUUUUCCGUAUAUAUUAUAUAAAACACCCUUUUAGAUUAAAUAUUACUAAGUUUUUAAUAGCGAAAAAGUACUGUAGAGGAAAAGUGUUUAUAUAAUAUUAAUAAUAAUAUAUAAUAGUGAAAAAGAGUAUGAAUCUUGAGUUAUCAAGCAGUGGGAUAAAAAAAAAAGAAUAUAUAUUCUUUUUUUUUUUUACUGCAUUCCUGUUGAAGAAUGAGCCGGCGACUUAUAUGCAGUGGCUUGAUUAAAAAAAAAAUUGUAAUCAUAGAAAAAUCAAGUUUUUUUAGAUAGUGUGUCACUGUUUAUGUACCCGACCCUGGGUGAUCUAUCCAUAACCAGGAUGAAACUAAAUUUUAAUUAAAGUGGAAGUCUGAACCGACUGAUGUUGAAUAAACAGCGGAUGAGUUUUGGUUAGGAGUGAAAUGCCAAUCGAACCCAGAGCUAGCUGGUUCCCCUCGAAAUGCGUUUAGGCGCAGCAGUUUUAAUGUUAUUAUUUUUUUAAGGGGUAAAAAGUUUUUGUUUUAUAAUUAAAAAAAAAAAAACUAAUAAUACUAAAAAAAAAACUAGUGAGAUUUUUGGGGGUAAGCUUUAUGUUCAAGAGGGAAACAGCCCAGACCACCAGAAAAGGCUCCAAAAAAAUUUGCUUAGUAAAAAAAGAAGUAAAAUUACAUAGACAAUUAGAGGGUUUGCCUGGGGGCAGCAAUCCCUUAAAGGAAUGCGUAAUAGCUUACUAAUUAAGUGAUUUUGUGCUAUAUAUACAAAAGGGUAUAAGUGAUUUGCCGAAGCUUUGGGAUGUAAAAAUUUUUCAGUAGGGGGGCGUUCCCACACGAUGCGCAUUUACCUUUUAAUAAUUAAUAAUAAUUUAUGUGCUCAUAUAUGGAAGUGAAAAUGUUGGCUUAAGUAACGAAACAAUGGUUUUUAUAAAUCCAAAAACCCCAAAAACCUAAGGAUUCCUUAGGUUAUAAAUAUAUGGAGUAUGAGGGUAAGUCAGGACUUAAGAUCAGACCAAAUGCAAAGGUGUAAUCGAUGGUAAAACAGGUAAAAAAUACUGUACUAUAAUGUUUUUUUAGUUUAGUUACGAGUAACGAAAUAAUUUUUUUUUUUUUUUUUUCGAGAUAUGGUUCGGUUUAAGGGUGAAAAAUAAAGAUUAAUAAAGAAAGUAGAGAAAAUAUUUUAUUUUAAAUCUAUACCUAAGUAUAAUAAUAAUAUAUUUAUUUACUAUAAAAAAAAGUUUUGAAUAAUUAAUUAAAUAAUUAAAUUAAUAUAAUAUAUAUAAUUUUUCCAGGAAAAGCUUGAAUAACUUUUUUACAAAAACAAUACCUGUACCUGAAACCUACACAGGUGGGUAGGUAAAGAAUACCUAGGGGAUCGAGAUAACUAUCUCUAAGGAACUCGGCAAAAUAACCUCGUAACUUUUGGAGAAGAGGUCCCUAAAAUUUAUUAUAUUAGGUUGCAGUGAAGAGACCCAAACGACUGUUUAUCAAAAACACAAGUCUCUGCAAAGUUGUAAGACUAAGUAUUGGGGCUGACACCUGCCCAGUGCCAAAAGGUAAAAAUAGUAGGUUGGUUACUUGAUGACGAGUAAAUCAUUUAUAUUAAUUUAUUGGUAAACGGCGGCCGUAACUAUAACGGUCCUAAGGUAGCGAAAUUCCUUGUCGGGUAAGUUCCGACCCGCACGAAAGGUGUAACGAUUUGGGUGCUGUCUCCGAGAUAGACUCGGUAAAAUAUACAUGUCUGUGAAGAUGCGGACUACCUGAACUUGGACAGAAAGACCCUAAGAAACUUUACUAUGUUUUUGAUAUUGAUUUUUUUUUUUUCAUAUAAUUAUUUGUAUUUGUGGUAGGAUUUAUUUAAAAUAUAAUUUUCCAAAAAUACCAACCACUAUUGAAAAAAAAAAAUAAUAAUAAUAAUGUAUUUUUUAACUUAUUUCAAAACUUACGGUUUAAGGAAAAGUAUCAAAAAUAUAGUUUAUAUGGGGCGUAAACCCAAAAAAAAAUAACAUGAGGUGUGCAAAAGGUUUCCUCAUAUUUUAAUAUUAAUAAAAAUUUUCGAGUGAAAAGACAUAAGGUAACUUGACUGCAAAACCUACCUUUUAAGCAGGGAUAAAAGUCGGCCUUAGUGAUCUGAGGGUUCCUAGUGUGGGUCGUGGCCCUCAAUAAUCGGAAAAAAGUUACUCUAGGGAUAACAGGCUUAUCUUUUAUAAGAGUUCAUAUCCAAAAAAAGGUUUGGCACCUCGAUGUCGGCUCUUCGCCACCUGGGGCUGUAUCAUUUUGUCCUAAGGGUUGGAUUGUUCGUCCAUUAAAGCGGUACGUGAGCUGGGUUCAGAACGUCGUGAGACAGUUCGGUCCAUAUCUGGUUUAGGCGUUAGAGCAUUUUUUGGUAUACUUCUUAGUACGAGAGGACCAGGAAAAAAAUACCUAUGAUAUAUCCAGUUAUUAUGCCUAUGAUAAACGCUGGUUAGUUAAGUAUAUGGGGAUAAUUGCUGAAAGCAUAUAAGUUUUAAGCUCACCUUAAGAUAAAUGCUCUAUUUAUUAGAAAUAUAAAUAAUAAAGUAAAUAAAGUAAAGGUAAUUGUAAGAUUAAACAAAAAUUUUUUAGGUGUUAAGUUAAAAUAUAGAAAUGUGUAAACAGCUGAGGCAUACUAACAUACCGAACAAAAAAGAGAU